UUAAGCCACAUUAGUGGUGCGUUUAUUUGACUAAACCGUUACUCUGGUUGACUCAAAAUAUCCUUGCUGAUUUUAUAACUAAAACAUGCCGUAUGUGUAUCUGGUUUAUCAACUUUCGAUGGUAGGGUAUUGGCCUACCAUGGUUGUGACGGAUAACGGAGAAUUAGGGUUCGACUCCGGAGAGGGAGCCUGAGAAACGGCUACCACAUCCAAGGAAGGCAGCAGGCGCGAAAAUUACCCAAUUUUAGUUAAAAGAGGUAGUGACGAAAAAUGACAACCAAGUAUUAUUUUUAAUAUUUGGAUUGAAAAUCUCCAAGUUUAAAUAACUUGUUGGUAAAGGAAAGGGCAAGUCUGGUGCCAGCAGCCGCGGUAAUACCAGCUUUCCAAGUGCAUAAAAUGAUUGUUGUGGUUAAAAAGCUCGUAGUUGGAUUAUAAAGAUUGUAUAAUGAGCAUCUUGGAUGUUUUUUCAUUAUCGUCUUAUUUAUUUUAAUAUAUUAGUAAUAAUAUA
This 508-nucleotide ribosomal RNA is filed under the name Strongyloides planiceps. RNAcentral's name for it is "bacterial SSU rRNA". It matches the Rfam family "Eukaryotic small subunit ribosomal RNA", at positions 174 to 717 of the family's 1831-position model. Lineage: Eukaryota; Metazoa; Nematoda; Chromadorea; Rhabditida; Strongyloididae. The record is from RNAcentral.